RNAcentral lists this long non-coding RNA (3393 nucleotides) under Homo sapiens (human). Its description in RNAcentral is "HSALNT0354816". The record is from RNAcentral. Lineage: Eukaryota; Metazoa; Chordata; Mammalia; Primates; Hominidae.
GUCCUCUUGCAGAGCUCUUUUCGUCAUCUGCGCAAUGGCAGGAAUGAGACGGAAACCAGUGAAGCGUUCCUCGCAGGGCCUGUGACCUUAUGAGGUAAGGAUGGCCACUUGGAACCCUUGAAGCUGUGAGUCCCCUUGACUUCCUCCCAGGCACUGCCCUCCCAGAAGUGAAGGUACCAGGAGGCAGAGGAAACAGUAGCACCACGGUGCCAUCCUGGAUCCAACGGAGCAGGUGACAGACAGCAGGGGUCACAGGCAGGCCAACUUGGACUGAGGAAAAAAAAGUCGCAGGAAAGCAGCUGGGCAUCCUGCCUUGCUUCGCCCUUGGACUUCUGCAGGGUCCGUUUGCCCUUUGUUUGACUCCCAGACCCCACUGAGCUGGGAACCAACCAGUGGGCUGGAAGCCCAGGAUGGGGUGGCCCACCUAGUAGGGACGACAUUUACUUGCACAAAAGAUGGUCUCCAGGAGCCCCUUCAGGACCGAAGCAGGGAAACACUGUCGCCCUGGAGAGCUGGGAGAGGGGGAGGCAGCAGCAGUCGCUGGCCAGAGAGGGGCGAAACAGAGCUCAGGGUCCCUGCAGCGGGUGGGGGAAGCUCAGGUCCAGGUGGGCUUUGUGUUCCUUGAGGUUCUCCGCCAAGGUUCUGCUUCAUCAGGCCUCUGCCGAGUUCUCUGGCCUCACCUGUCCACCGCUGCUCCGUGCAGCCACCUUUCCCCUGCUCCCCAAGGUGCGUCCAUUUCUGAGUUUCCCUCCUCUGGACCUGUGACCAUGCCAUCCCUCCUGCCUGGACUGCCUCCCAGUCUCUCAGUAGUACCACCUCCAGGUUCAGCUUGUGGUUCCGGCUGGUGGGUGUGCCACAGCCAGACGCUGUGCUCAGCGGGGAUACCCUAACCCUGGGUGAUCUGGGGUCACUCCCGUCAACCUGGGGGGCUCUGCAGGCAGGGAAGAGCCUCCUGGGUCUCUGCUCCAGCCCUGGCUUUACACAAAUGUGCCUGAGAAAACACGGUGUCCUGACACCUGGCCUCAUGCCACCUGGUGACGGCAUCUGAGCCAUCACCAGUGAUCAUUCACCCCUUUUCCCUUUUCCAGACAGCACGAAAAUCCAACACGCCCCUCACCGGAGGACUGGGAGGCUCCCGCGUUUUGGAUUCUGAAAAGCACUCCCUCGUUCACGUCUGCCUGGAUUCGCGCCCUCAAGCCCCCUGGCGCCCACUUUUCUUGCUCUCCAAACACUCGUUGAGGCCCGAGAGGGAGAUGCGAAGUUUGCCCACCACUGCGCGUCCCUCCUCCGCGAGGCGCCAAUGGGCCUGAGUCAGGGGCCUCCCCUUCAUCCGCUGGUCCCUCCCCUGUUCCCAGCUCCAGUUCCUCACCCGCUAUGGCUGGCCUGGCGCCUGUGGCCGUUCACCGUCUGCGAGGCAUCUGCGGGGACUGAAGUCGGGGAGGCAGCGGCGGGCUCUGGCAGAUACCAGGAGAUCCCGCCCCUCGGCCCGGGAGACCCCGCCCCUCGGCCACGCCCCUUUCCGCUCCCCACCCCGCCCUCUUGGGCCCCCCACCCGGCCCAGCCAGACAGAGACCUGCCUCCAGGUGGGUGGGAGGAGACCUUCAGUCCCUCGCCCCGGGCCUGUUGUCACUACCUCCCCCAAACACAUUGGUUAAAGUCACCCGAUUAGAAGGGGCCACCUGUGAGACUUGGAUCCAAAGCAAACUAGCGGAAGCUGAAGGGUCUUGGGGCUUCCCAGGCCUCUCGGAGGCCGGGAUGGUCGUGGAGGAGGGAGCGCUCAGUGCCUGGCCUACUGCCUGCCCUGAGCCGGCUCCCUACAGGACGCUUCUCCUGUACCUUCCACCUGCUGCGAGGAAGGGCUGGGGGCAGGCGUACCCAUUUUCCAGAGGAGAACUGAAGGCUCUCACCCCGGGUUAGGCCAGUGGCCGGAGGCAGAGCCGGGCCUUGAACCUGGCUUUCUGGAUCUUCAUCCAGGCCAUUCUAAAGGGGAUCACAGUUUCCAGGAGUCACUCCUGAAGAUGGUCAAGUACCAUGGAGGGGCAGGGCAUCCAUGGACCCUGAUUUGAGGCCCCGGAGCAGUUGGGACUGGUUUGGGCCACGGCUGGCCUAAUCUCCCCUCCACAGAGCCUGGGCAUUGUCCAGUUGGCAGCCAAGAGCCAUCUAUCCACUUUACAGCGGGCAGCUUUGACAGGCUGCUUGUUUCCAAGGACAAAGCCUGCAGGCUGUGGGUAGGCGAUAGCCACUGCGGACCUCGGGCUCAUUGCCUGGGUACAGGGGGUGGGGAGCCUGAGGUCUGCCAGGACCCAAGGGAGCCUCGAGGGUGGCCUGAGGACAUUGGGUCCUCACUCCUGGCCCCUCAGCCAACCCCCUCAUAGCCCAGGGCCAGGAAUUUUGGAAGGAAGAACCAGCCACUGGGAUGUUUUCACUUUUGGGUCACCCUGAUCCCCCCAGAAUCGAGGCUUGGCCAUCAGCCAGCUUUUAUGUGACCCAGGCAGCUCUCUCCACUCUGUUUCUUCUUCUACAGAAUGUUGAGAAUCACCUCUUUCUCUCAGGGACAUAAAGCAUGGCUGUGAGAGAGAUUUGUGAGUGUUGGGGUCACUGUAAUUACUCUCUGAGGGUGCCUGUCUUGAGCUCUGUAGACAAAGUGGGAUCCCUUCCCCUCUCUCAUACCCCUACAAACUUUGGGCCUCGAGUAUCCAGGAUGGGCCCAGAACCAGCACUGGCACAGCCUCCUCUCUGGCCUGAUCCAAGCCCUCUCCCACACAGCAGUCAGGCUGAUCUUCCUAAAAUUUCCGUCUAUUGAGCUUACAUUAAAAUAAUAAUAAUAAUAAUAAUAAUAAUAAUAAUAAUAAUAAUAACAACAUUUCUGUCUGAUUUUGUCUCUCCUCUGCUCAAAAUCCCUCUGUGGAUCCCUAGUGCCUCCAGGAGAAAGUCCACCCUUCCUCUCACGGCUCACCCAAUCUACCCCAGCCGUGGCUCCUCCCUCACUGUGCCUCUUCCCCUUACCUUCUAGCCAGAGUGAAAUCCCCAGGCCUCUGCGUGCACCAUUCCCUCUGCUUAGGAAUAGGCAGACCUGCCCCCAGGUCUUUUCUGGUUCAUUUCCACUUAUCCUUCAGGUUUCUAGGAUGCUUUCCCUGACCUCCACUUAAAUUGGCUCAGGAGUUCCCUGAUCUCCACAAAUGUCAGGAACUUGUCCACCCGCCUGCCCCCAGCACCCAGGUUACACCUGACAAAGUAAGCGCUUUGGAAUGCUCCAACAGACCUAGUCAUACCAUACCCGGACAGAUGCCUUGCGUGUGUGUUUGAGGGUGGUGGUGCUGGGGACAGUGGGAAGGGACUCUGCCUCAUGGACCCCCAAGGCCAGACACCUGCACUGCUGCUUGUGGCCACUGG